This is a long non-coding RNA of Coturnix japonica (Japanese quail), 2131 nucleotides long. The record is from Ensembl. NCBI's taxonomy places the organism in Eukaryota, Metazoa, Chordata, Aves, Galliformes, Phasianidae.
CUUGAGCUUGGUCACACUGACUCUCUGGUGGCUUUAAUUAAAAGGUUUCUACCCAUCAGUGUCUGCAGAGGUCUCUUAACUUGUACUUGCUUUUGGAGCCCAGUCCCAGGCUCAUUGGUGCUAAGUGAAAAGCCAUCCUCUGAGCAAGUACGCUAACCUUGUCUUAACUUAUGGAAAGAAAUUAAAAAGUGAUUAAAUAAUUAAUACUGGAUGUUGCUUAACACUUGGUAAGAGUGUUAGUUAAUAAUCUUCUGAAGCUUUUUUUUCUAAUUUGGGAAUAAAAUAGAUAUAAUUUAGCAUGUCAUUCUGAAGCAGCAAAUAAUGCUGUACAGAGAAUCGAAGGAAAUGUGUUUCUUUGAUUAGGAUGUUUUUCUCAUUAACGGGAUGCUCAAAAUAAAGCAAAAAUAUUUGAUGCACAGAGCCAGUGGCAGUAUCAAGUGAACGGUGGCAUGCUCCUGCAUUUUACCUCGUGUUUACUAAUCAAUCAGAAAGGACUCUUGCCACCAAGAAAGGUCACAUCUUUCAUCACAAAACUGAAACUCUUUGACAACAAUCAAAACUUCACUGCUUUGUUUAAUGUGGAUUCCAGCACAGAAGACCCAGGCCGUGAAGAUGGUGGGUGUGGGAUGAGGUGAAUGCGCAGAGCUAUGAUUCCCAACUGUUUGUUGCUCCCUACUGUGAGUCUGCGUGUCACAAGCAAAAAUGUGUUAAAAGCCCUUGAAAGAACUGGGUUGUAAUUGGCUGAUCAUGAACGCUGGUUUUGCUGCUUUCUUUUCCCUCUGCUGGCUGCCUAGGCAUUAGCAUCUCCAAGGAGUCUUCUGGGCAGUGACAAUAGUGGGAUGCAGACCCAAGCUGGCCUGGUCCCCUGGAGGAAUCAUUGGGCGGUUGUUUAAAGCUGGUACAGCAUGGAAUACAGCAGAGGAGCCUUGACCUUUAUUUGUAAGCAUGGAAAUAAGGAAAGGAAGCACAAAAGAGGGCACCGCUUCUACAAAAGGAGCAGAAAUAGGAAAAGCUGUACAUCAAGUCUUGGUUAACAACAUCCUGAAGAAACACUGUGGAGAGUCAUCUAGCAACGAGUGCACACAGGAAUAUAGAAAAGGACUUGCUAAACAGGUAUUUGACUUCCAAUAAGCUUUUAAGAGUUGUUAUGUAAUCUCAAUCAUUUUUCUCUAGAGAACAUCACUAAUGAAUGGUAUCACAAUGGUCUCAAUCAGUUAAGUGUAUCAACCUACCAAAAAAAGUAGCAACAAAAUGCGAAAGGGAAAACAAAAGCUAAGACCAGGUGCUCAUUCUAUUUAAGUACUGAGCAUAUCUAGGAUCCUCACAUAACCAAAAGUCUCUAAUCAAACCGUAUUGCUCUAUUAGCACCUGUUGGGCUUAACUGCCUGAAGUGUGCUUUAAACAUGCUUCUUAGCACAUCACAGGCGGAAACUAUACUUGACUCAUACAUAAGAGAGAAGCGGGAGUAAAUAUCUGUUGAUACAAAACAAAGCUUAGUCAUAAUUGAGGCAGCAACUUAACAAGACUUGAGAUAGCAAGGUAGACUUGAUGAUUUACUCCACAGAGUUAAACAGACCAAUCCAGGAGACUUUCUCCUUAAGCAACAAGAUUCAAGAGUUAACUCUUCACUUUUUAAACUUCAGCCUAGAUACUGCUGAAUCCAAGCCUAGUCUUAGGCAUGGUCAAUGCUUUGCAUAAAAACAUUAUAUGUGAACAAUCAAAGAUAUAAUCUUAGCAGAUCUAAGAAAGCUUAAAACAAAGCAUAAGUCACUUACCAAGGAGCUGUAUCAAACAGGUAUGUGGAUGUCAAGAAGUAUCUGCAGCAGAUAUAACCUCAAAACACACCCCUACUCAAAGAGAAGGUACUCUUGGGCUGCUCACUAUUUAUGGGGUAAGAUGGUUGACUCAGAGUUUUGGCCUAUGCUCAAUUGAAUUUCUGCAGUUGCACCAGGUGUCUGCUAUCAGUUCUUUGAGCACCCAGUUUGAGACAGAUUUGUGGUCGUUAUCUGUCUUGACAAAACCUUGAUAGUCACCUGUUCUGAGUAAGGCCCUGGGUAUAUCUCACUGUUUGUCUGAGAAAAGCCUUGAGUGCAACAACAAAGCUGCAGAAGGAAUUUGGGAGGGUGUGUUA